GGCGAACGGGUGAGUAACACGUGGGUGAUCUGCCCUGCACUCUGGGAUAAGCCUGGGAAACUGGGUCUAAUACUGGAUAUGACCUUUCUCCUUAUGGGGUUUGGUGGAAAGUUUUUCGGUGUAGGAUGAGCCCGCGGCCUAUCAGCUUGUUGGUGGGGUGAUGGCCUACCAAGGCGACGACGGGUAGCCGGCCUGAGAGGGUGAUCGGCCACAUUGGGACUGAGAUACGGCCCAG
This 235-nucleotide ribosomal RNA is filed under the name uncultured Actinomycetales bacterium. Its description in RNAcentral is "partial 16S ribosomal RNA". It matches the Rfam family "Bacterial small subunit ribosomal RNA", at positions 97 to 334 of the family's 1533-position model. Lineage: Bacteria; Bacillati; Actinomycetota; Actinomycetes; Actinomycetales. The record is from RNAcentral.